Piliocolobus tephrosceles (Ugandan red Colobus) is the source of this 374-nucleotide long non-coding RNA. RefSeq lists it as uncharacterized. NCBI's taxonomy places the organism in Eukaryota, Metazoa, Chordata, Mammalia, Primates, Cercopithecidae. The record is from RefSeq and is a predicted model, not a curated record. The transcript has 2 exons.
AUUGUUGGUAAUUCUUUUUAGGACUAUGAAAAUGCUGAAAAUACUUCAACUCAGUCAAAAGUUAUGAAUAAAAAAGAUAAAAGAAAGAAUCAUCAGGGAAAAGACAAACCUCUCACAGUAUCACUAAAAGAUUUUCAUUCGGAAGAUCACAUUAGUAAAAAAGACUGAGGUAAGUCUUAUUGUAGCCAUCUUGUAGAAAACACUGAUGAUUUUAAGAAUAAUACUUUAAUAUUUAGCAGUAAGUCUUUUUUGAGACAUAAUCAUUUAAAGGACAACCCAUAGGUUUGUCUUGAGUGAACCCAAUCAUGUUUCUGCCAUCAUAUAAGGAUGUAAAAUGCAUUAGUGUAGAAUAAAAACAAGAUUAUUUGCAUGAA